CGCACGGGUGCGUAACACGUAUACAAUCUGCCUUUAACAGGGGGAUAGCCCGGAGAAAUCCGGAUUAAUACCCCAUAAUAGUUUGACUGGCAUCAGUUGAAUUUGAAAGCUCCGGCGGUUAAAGAUGAGUAUGCGUCUGAUUAGCUAGUUGGUGAGGUAACGGCUCACCAAGGCGACGAUCAGUAGGGGAUCUGAGAGGAUUAACCCCCACACGGAUACUGAGACACGGAUCCGACUCCUACGGGAGGCAGCAGUAAGGAAUAUUGGACAAUGCCCGCAAGGGUGAUCCAGCCAUGCCGCGUGCAGGAAGACGGCCCUAUGGGUUGUAAACUGCUUUUACACCGGAGAAAACCUCCCCUCGUGAGGGGAGCUGAUAGUAUGGUGAGAAUAAGCAUCGGCUAACUUCGUGCCAGCAGCCGCGGUAAGACGAAGGAUGCAAGCGUUAUCCGGAUUCAUUGGGUUUAAAGGGAGCGUAGGUGGCCUUAUAAGUCAGUGGUGAAAUCUCUGGGCUUAACCCAGAAAUUGCCAUUGAUACUGUAGGGCUUGAGUACAGUUGCUGUGGGCGGAAUAUGACAUGUAGUGGUGAAAUACAUAGAGAUGUCAUAGAACACCGAUUGCGAAGGCAGCUCACAAAACUGUAACUGACACUGAGGCUCGAAAGUGCGGGGAUCAAACAGGAUUAGAUACCCUGGUAGUCCGCACUGUAAACGAUGAUUACCCGCUGCUAGAGGGCAACUUUUAGUGGCUUAGCGAAAGCGAUAAGUAAUCCACCUGGGGAGUACGCCGGCAACGGUGAAACCCAAAGGAAUUGACGGGGGCCCGCACAAGCGGAGGAGCAUGUGGUUUAAUUCGAUGAUACGCGAGGAACCUUACCAGGGCUUGAAAGUUAGGGAAUAACUCUGAAAGGAGUUAGUCAGCAAUGACCCGAAACUAGGUGCUGCAUGGCUGUCGUCAGCUCGUGCCGUGAGGUGUUGGGUUAAGUCCCGCAACGAGCGCAACCCCUACCAAUAGUUGCCAGCGGUUCGGCCGGGGACUCUAUUGGAACUGCCCGCGCAAGCGGUGAGGAAGGUGGGGAUGACGUCAAGUCAGCAUGGCCUUUAUAUCCGGGGCUACACACACGCUACAAUGGACGGUACAGUGGGUUGCGAAGCCGCGAGGAAGAGCCAAUCCCCCAAAGCCGUUCGUAGUUCGGAUUGUAGGCUGCAACU
Molecule: ribosomal RNA, 1208 nt
Filed under: uncultured bacterium
Lineage: Bacteria
Description: bacterial SSU rRNA
Rfam family: Bacterial small subunit ribosomal RNA
Source: RNAcentral